UACACGGUGGAUGCCCUGGCAGUCAGAGGCGAUGAAGGACGUGCUAAUCUGCGAUAAGCGUCGGUAAGGUGAUAUGAACCGUUAUAACCGGCGAUUUCCGAAUGGGGAAACCCAGUGUGAUUCGUCACACUAUCAUUAACUGAAUCCAUAGGUUAAUGAGGCGAACCGGGGGAACUGAAACAUCUAAGUACCCCGAGGAAAAGAAAUCAACCGAGAUUCCCCCAGUAGCGGCGAGCGAACGGGGAGCAGCCCAGAGCCUGAAUCAGUGUGUGUGUUAGUGGAAGCGUCUGGAAAGGCGCGCGAUACAGGGUGACAGCCCCGUACACAAAAAUGCACAUGCUGUGAGCUCGAUGAGUAGGGCGGGACACGUGGUAUCCUGUCUGAAUAUGGGGGGACCAUCCUCCAAGGCUAAAUACUCCUGACUGACCGAUAGUGAACCAGUACCGUGAGGGAAAGGCGAAAAGAACCCCGGCGAGGGGAGUGAAAAAGAACCUGAAACCGUGUACGUACAAGCAGUGGGAGCACGCUUAGGCGUGUGACUGCGUACCUUUUGUAUAAUGGGUCAGCGACUUAUAUUCUGUAGCAAGGUUAACCGAAUAGGGGAGCCGAAGGGAAACCGAGUCUUAACUGGGCGUUAAGUUGCAGGGUAUAGACCCGAAACCCGGUGAUCUAGCCAUGGGCAGGUUGAAGGUUGGGUAACACUAACUGGAGGACCGAACCGACUAAUGUUGAAAAAUUAGCGGAUGACUUGUGGCUGGGGGUGAAAGGCCAAUCAAACCGGGAGAUAGCUGGUUCUCCCCGAAAGCUAUUUAGGUAGCGCCUCGUGAAUUCAUCUCCGGGGGUAGAGCACUGUUUCGGCAAGGGGGUCAUCCCGACUUACCAACCCGAUGCAAACUGCGAAUACCGGAGAAUGUUAUCACGGGAGACACACGGCGGGUGCUAACGUCCGUCGUGAAGAGGGAAACAACCCAGACCGCCAGCUAAGGUCCCAAAGUCAUGGUUAAGUGGGAAACGAUGUGGGAAGGCCCAGACAGCCAGGAUGUUGGCUUAGAAGCAGCCAUCAUUUAAAGAAAGCGUAAUAGCUCACUGGUCGAGUCGGCCUGCGCGGAAGAUGUAACGGGGCUAAACCAUGCACCGAAGCUGCGGCAGUGACGCUUAUGCGUUGUUGGGUAGGGGAGCGUUCUGUAAGCCUGUGAAGGUGUGCUGUGAGGCAUGCUGGAGGUAUCAGAAGUGCGAAUGCUGACAUAAGUAACGAUAAAGCGGGUGAAAAGCCCGCUCGCCGGAAGACCAAGGGUUCCUGUCCAACGUUAAUCGGGGCAGGGUGAGUCGACCCCUAAGGCGAGGCCGAAAGGCGUAGUCGAUGGGAAACAGGUUAAUAUUCCUGUACUUGGUGUUACUGCGAAGGGGGGACGGAGAAGGCUAUGUUGGCCGGGCGACGGUUGUCCCGGUUUAAGCGUGUAGGCUGGUUUUCCAGGCAAAUCCGGAAAAUCAAGGCUGAGGCGUGAUGACGAGGCACUACGGUGCUGAAGCAACAAAUGCCCUGCUUCCAGGAAAAGCCUCUAAGCAUCAGGUAA
This 1574-nucleotide ribosomal RNA is filed under the name Escherichia coli. RNAcentral describes it as "partial 23S ribosomal RNA". It matches the Rfam family "Bacterial large subunit ribosomal RNA", at positions 18 to 1634 of the family's 2925-position model. Lineage: Bacteria; Pseudomonadati; Pseudomonadota; Gammaproteobacteria; Enterobacterales; Enterobacteriaceae. The record is from RNAcentral.